RNAcentral lists this ribosomal RNA (492 nucleotides) under uncultured bacterium. Its description in RNAcentral is "partial 16S ribosomal RNA". It matches the Rfam family "Bacterial small subunit ribosomal RNA", at positions 29 to 507 of the family's 1533-position model. The record is from RNAcentral.
AGUGAACGCUGGCGGUAGGCCUAACACAUGCAAGUCGAACGGCAGCACAGUAAGAGCUUGCUCUUACGGGUGGCGAGUGGCGGACGGGUGAGGAAUACAUCGGAAUCUACUUUUUCGUGGGGGAUAACGUAGGGAGACUUACGCUAAUACCGCAUACGACCUACGGGUGAAAGCAGGGGAUCUUCGGACCUUGCGCGAUUGAAUGAGCCGAUGUCGGAUUAGCUAGUUGGCGGGGUAAAGGCCCACCAAGGCGACGAUCCGUAGCUGGUCUGAGAGGAUGAUCAGCCACACUGGAACUGAGACACGGUCCAGACUCCUACGGGAGGCGGCAGUGGGGAAUAUUGGACAAUGGGCGCAAGCCUGAUCCAGCCAUACCGCGUGGGUGAAGAAGGCCUUCGGGUUGUAAAGCCCUUUUGUUGGGAAAGAAAAGCAGCAGGUUAAUACCCCGCUGUUCUGACGGUACCAAAAGAAUAAGCACCGGCUAACUUCGUG